This 466-nucleotide unclassified non-coding RNA is filed under the name Hevea brasiliensis (rubber tree). Lineage: Eukaryota; Viridiplantae; Streptophyta; Magnoliopsida; Malpighiales; Euphorbiaceae. The record is from RNAcentral.
UUCCUAUUUUAUUUAUAUCUUCCUAUUGUUUUUAACAUGUUUUAAAAAAAGGCCAUUACGUUAUGUAACGGCUAUUAUUUAUAGGUUUUUUGCCUCCCGUUACUGUAACACUCAUUAUUUAAAGGCAUAAAAAAGUUUGCUUCUGUAACAGCCAUUACACCCGUUACUUAACUAUAAAGGCUGUUAUUUUAAGUAAUAGUAAUGAUCCAUUUUCUCAUUUAUUAUUUUAAGUCAGAUGGGGGUAGUAACUAUUCCUCAUUUUUUUUCCUCUUAAGUGUUUUUAGCUGUUGUCUCUUACUUUCUCUCUCAAAUUUCCUUCUAAACUUUUCUUUCUACAAAUCUUUUACUUCUCUUUUGACCUAUCAUCAACUAACUUUCUAGUUAUACACAUUGGUUUCUAGAAAAUGUUAUUUACUUUGUUUGUUGUUUUUUGCUUAUUUGUUGAGGAAAAUUAUGUUUGAUGCUA